RNAcentral lists this ribosomal RNA (409 nucleotides) under uncultured Diversispora. Its description in RNAcentral is "partial 28S ribosomal RNA". The record is from RNAcentral. Lineage: Eukaryota; Fungi; Glomeromycota; Glomeromycetes; Diversisporales; Diversisporaceae.
GAGAGUUAAAUAGUACGUGAAAUUGUUGAAAGGGAAACGAUUGAAGUCAGUCAUGCUAGUGAAAAUUCAGUUUGGUGGGUUUUGGGUUCAGGAGUUGAGGCAGGGUCAAACCGUUUCUCUUUUGAACUUGGAAUUUGCCAGAUGCACUUUUUCUUUGGCAGGUCAGCGUCGAUUUCGGAGGUUGUAAAAUACUUGGGGAAAAGUAGCUCUGCUUCGGGAGAGUGUUAUAGACCUUGGGUGAUGCAGCCUGUGGGAUCGAGGAUUGCAGCAAAUACCUUUGGCUUGUCGCCUGAUCUCUGGACGUCAUCUCGCUUGUAUCAACAUUCUUGGUGCCGGUGAGUAAUGGUGCUCAUAAGGUUAGAGCGAUCAAAAAUUUUGCUAAGGAUGUUGACGUAAUGGCUUUAAACGA